AUGGUUAGGAGUGUACCGAUUGGUGAGAGGCUCUUCAUAGGAGGAGACCUCAAUGGCCACGUGGGUACAUCUAACACGGGUUUUGAAGGGGCGCAUGGGGGCUUUGGCUAUGGCAUCAGGAAUCAAGAAGGAGAUGUCUUAAGCCUUGCUCUAGCCUACAACAUGAUUGUAGCUAACACCCUCUUUAGAAAGAGAGAAUCACAUCUGGUGACUUUUAGUAGUGGCCAACACUCUAGCCAGAUUGAUUUCAUCCUCUCGAGAAGAGAAGAUAGGCGUGCGUGCCUAGACUGUAAGGUAAUACCUGGAGAGAGUGUUGUACCCCAGCAUAAGCUGGUGGUUGCUGACUUCCGCUUUCGGAUGCGUGUCCAGCGGGAUAAGCGCGCCAAAGUCGCUAGAACGAAGUGGUGGAAGCUCAAGGGGGAGGCAGCUCAGGCGUUCAAGGAGAGGGUCAUUAAGGAGGGCCCUUGGGAGGAAGGAGGGGAUGCAGACAAUGUGUGGAUGGAGAUGGCGACUUGCAUUCGUAAGGUGGCCUUGGAGGAGUUUGGAGUGUCCAGGGGAAGGAGAAGCGAAGAUAAGGAUACCUGGUGGUGGAAUGAUGAUGUCCAAAAGGCGAUUAAGAGAAGAAAGAUUGCUUCAGAUGCCUAUACCUGGUUAGGAGUGCAGACAACAUAG
Molecule: ribosomal RNA, 672 nt
Filed under: Triticum aestivum (bread wheat)
Lineage: Eukaryota; Viridiplantae; Streptophyta; Magnoliopsida; Poales; Poaceae
Description: partial small subunit ribosomal RNA
Source: RNAcentral